RNAcentral lists this ribosomal RNA (444 nucleotides) under uncultured soil bacterium. Its description in RNAcentral is "bacterial SSU rRNA". It matches the Rfam family "Bacterial small subunit ribosomal RNA", at positions 26 to 518 of the family's 1533-position model. The record is from RNAcentral.
AGAACGAACGCUGGCGGCAUGCCUAACACAUGCAAGUCGAACGAGACCUUCGGGUCUAGUGGCGCACGGGUGCGUAACGCGUGGGAAUCUGCCCUUGGGUACGGAAUAACAGUGGGAAACUACUGCUAAUACCGUAUAAUGACUUCGGUCCAAAGAUUUAUCGCCCAGGGAUGAGCCCGCGUAGGAUUAGCUUGUUGGUGAGGUAAGAGCUCACCAAGGCGACGAUCCUUAGCUGGUCUGAGAGGAUGAUCAGCCACACUGGGACUGGGACACGGCCCAGACUCCUACGGGAGGCAGCAGUGGGGAAUAUUGGACAAUGGGCGAAAGCCUGAUCCAGCAAUGCCGCGUGAGUGAUGAAGGCCGUUAGGUGUAAAGCUCUUUUGCCCGGAUGAUAAUGACAGUACCGGAGAAUAAGCUCCGGCUAACUCCGUGCCAGCAGCCGAC